UACGUAGGUGGCAAGCGUUGUCCGGAAUUACUGGGCGUAAAGCGCACGUAGGCGGACAUUUAAGUUGGAGGUGAAAGCCUUGGGCUCAACCCAAGAAUUGCCUUUGAUACUGGAUGUCUCGAGACCGGGAGAGGUGAGUGGAAUUCCGAGUGUAGAGGUGAAAUUCGUAGAUAUUCGGAAGAACACCAGUGGCGAAGGCGGCUCACUGGCCCGGUUCUGACGCUGAGGUGCGAAAGCGUGGGGAGCAAACAGG
This 253-nucleotide ribosomal RNA is filed under the name uncultured bacterium. RNAcentral describes it as "partial 16S ribosomal RNA". It matches the Rfam family "Bacterial small subunit ribosomal RNA", at positions 524 to 776 of the family's 1533-position model. The record is from RNAcentral.